CGAUGGAGGGGGGUAACUACUGGAAACGGUAGCUAAUACCGCAUAACGUCGCAAGACCAAAGAGGGGGACCUUAGGGCCUCUUGCCAUCGGAUGUGCCCAGAUGGGAUUAGCUAGUAGGUGGGGUAACGGCUCACCUAGGCGACGAUCCCUAGCUGGUCUGAGAGGAUGACCAGCCACACUGGAACUGAGACACGGUCCAG
RNAcentral lists this ribosomal RNA (201 nucleotides) under uncultured bacterium. RNAcentral's name for it is "partial 16S ribosomal RNA". It matches the Rfam family "Bacterial small subunit ribosomal RNA", at positions 131 to 334 of the family's 1533-position model. The record is from RNAcentral.